This is a non-coding RNA of Cordylochernes scorpioides, 288 nucleotides long. NCBI's taxonomy places the organism in Eukaryota, Metazoa, Arthropoda, Arachnida, Pseudoscorpiones, Chernetidae. The record is from the annotation of a GenBank genome assembly.
GUCCAGGGUAGUCUAGUGGACAUGGCAUCUGCCCGGUAAGCGGUAAGCACGUUCUCCGCACACAAUAUCCUUAAUACAAUAUAAUGCGGCUUAUGAUUGUAGAACGACAUUUGAAAAUUAUCCCGCAUGUGUUUCUUUUAAAACGAAAAAUCGAAAAUUUAUUUUAAUGGAGAAAAACGAAUAUUUCUAACCUUAGGGAUGAAGUAUGAAAGGAUGAAUGUAAACAGUAAUGAUAAACGGAAAAAUAAAAGUGUCCAGGGAUCGUGGGUUCGAUUCCCAUCCUGGACA